This 204-nucleotide long non-coding RNA is filed under the name Elaeis guineensis (African oil palm). Its description in RNAcentral is "long non-coding RNA (EGUI_LNC074855)". The record is from RNAcentral. Lineage: Eukaryota; Viridiplantae; Streptophyta; Magnoliopsida; Arecales; Arecaceae.
GGGGCAGCGCUGGGUUGAGGGUGUUGUAUAGAGCUGCAGGGCGCAUGGAGUGCGAUGCAGGAGAGCCGCAGGAGGCCAUAGAGGAACGACAAGCAGGGGCGUGGGGGGUGCAAUGCGGACAGCGAUAGCCUAGACGUUGUGUGGAGAGAGAGAAGCGACGAGGAAGGGAGGUCAAUGACGGCAGGGAGGUCCAAGCAUGGGGCC